AUGGCUGAAGGAGUUGUAAGGAGGAAUUACACCACAUGGGAUGAUGAGAUGGAUGGUGCAUUGUUUGAGGUGCUUGUUGAUCAUCACAACAAUGGCGACCAUUCACAAAAUGGAUGGAAACCACACGUGUAUUGUGCAGCCAUAAGGAAUGUGAAGGAGAAGUGCAACAAGGAUAUCACAAAGGACAACAUUUUGGGAAGGCUUAGGACUUUCGACAGGUACUAUGAAGUAAUUACCAAGAUACUUUCCCAAAGUAGUUUUCGGUGGGAUUGGGUGAAUCAUAAGCUAUCAAUGGAUAGUGAUGAUGUCUGGAUCAAAUAUGUGGAGCAUUGGGAGUCCAUAUCUAUCAUAUACUCAAAAGAUCAUGCCAAUGGUGAAGGUGCGAUGACUGGUGCUGAGACUGCUGCAGAUCCAGAAGUAAAACCAAUAGAAAUCUCUUCAGAAGUGGCACCAAAGAGGCAACGAAUAGGCGAGUCCAUUAUGUGCAUGAUUGGAGAAAUGAGGGCUACUUUCAAGGAUGCUUUGGAGACAACUGAUCCACUUCCAUUGCCAAAAGCUACCACUCCUGCUGCAAUUCUUGCUGCACUUUAGUUGAUACCAGACUUGGCAGAGCCAGACAUGUUGCGAUCAUAUGGGAUGCUGAUUCUUAAUGAGCGUUUCUUUGAAGCUCUAAUGGAGUUGCCCAUGGAAAUGAGGAAGGCCUGGCUGUUAGUGUUGCCUUAA
RNAcentral lists this ribosomal RNA (723 nucleotides) under Triticum aestivum (bread wheat). Its description in RNAcentral is "partial small subunit ribosomal RNA". Lineage: Eukaryota; Viridiplantae; Streptophyta; Magnoliopsida; Poales; Poaceae. The record is from RNAcentral.